CCUACGGGAGGCAGCAGUGAGGAAUAUUGGUCAAUGGGCGUAAGCCUGAACCAGCCAAGUCGCGUGAGGGAUGAAGGUUCUAUGGAUCGUAAACCUCUUUUAUAAGGGAAUAAAGUGCGGGACGUGUCCUGUUUUGUAUGUACCUUAUGAAUAAGGAUCGGCUAACUCCGUGCCAGCAGCCGCGGUAAUACGGAGGAUCCGAGCGUUAUCCGGAUUUAUUGGGUUUAAAGGGUGCGUAGGCGGAUUGUUAAGUCAGUUGUGAAAGUUUGCGGCUCAACCGUAAAAUUGCAGUUGAUACUGGCAGCCUUGAGUGCAGUAGAGGUGGGCGGAAUUCGUGGUGUAGCGGUGAAAUGCUUAGAUAUCACGAAGAACUCCGAUUGCGAAGGCAGCCUGCUAAGCUGCAACUGACAUUGAGGCUCGAAAG
RNAcentral lists this ribosomal RNA (424 nucleotides) under uncultured Bacteroides sp. Its description in RNAcentral is "bacterial SSU rRNA". It matches the Rfam family "Bacterial small subunit ribosomal RNA", at positions 338 to 759 of the family's 1533-position model. Lineage: Bacteria; Pseudomonadati; Bacteroidota; Bacteroidia; Bacteroidales; Bacteroidaceae. The record is from RNAcentral.